CUCACUCCCAUAUUACCACCAGGAACGGGAAUUCCCAUGCAAACGGACACCAUGCCGAAAUGGUACUGUAAGUACCUCAUACUUUGGCACACCUGGAGUGUCAUUAAAGCGCACGUAAUUAUAGCCCAGGUAUGCUGAAGUACACUACUCUCAUCACGUGCUACCAACAGCACCGUAGCGCUGAGUGAGAGCACAGAGAAGCACUUUAGCAGAAAGGAAAAGAUGAUGUCACACGUGUAA
Long non-coding RNA from Anguilla anguilla (European eel), 240 nucleotides. RefSeq lists it as uncharacterized. NCBI's taxonomy places the organism in Eukaryota, Metazoa, Chordata, Actinopteri, Anguilliformes, Anguillidae. The record is from RefSeq and is a predicted model, not a curated record. The transcript has 2 exons.